This 1916-nucleotide long non-coding RNA is filed under the name Pan troglodytes (chimpanzee). RNAcentral describes it as "long non-coding RNA NONPTRT015539". Lineage: Eukaryota; Metazoa; Chordata; Mammalia; Primates; Hominidae. The record is from RNAcentral.
GCCAGGCUGGAGAGCUGGUCUCUCCCCUCCCAUCUCCUGCCCCACAAGAGCCUGCCCAGCACAGAGAACCCAGAGGAAGAAGGUGGAGGAGGACAGGGGAGCUGUGUAGGUGGGCGACCGAGGGGUCACACAGCGGCCGUCUGCUUGAUGCUGUGGAAGCUGAUCCGCGUGGGUGAUGUAGGGAUGGACAUGGCCCGGACCACGGGGACUCGAAGGGAGUGAUGGUCCUGCCAGCGGUGCCACCUCUUCCUCACGGCUGAGCGCACCUGUGGGGAAGGCAGAGGCUCAGCUGGCUCCCAGGGACCAACCCUGGGCUUCUGGGACCGUCCCCUCCUCUGCUCUCUGCUCUCAUGGGUCGACUGCCACCUCAUGACAAGGAACUGUCUGCUUCCAAAACCGAGGUCCUUCCCUGAUGCUGUUGCCUCUCUCCAGGGGCCCCUUCCUUAUCCUUCUCCUGGAGAAGCUUGACUCCACACCUCCUUUACUCCACACUGUCCUCCCAGAUCAUCCAGUUUCCUCUGGACACACUGCCUUCCCUUCCCUGACUCACUCUGCCACCUCAAAAUUAGCAUCUUGGGACCAGAGAGCGCAGCUUGGAGACUUGGCCCCCUCAGCCUUCUUGGGCCCCUGCUCCUUGCAGGGCGUUGGUGGUGUGCGCCCAGCUCACACACCUGGUGCGCCUCCUCCUCCCUCCUGAAGACCGUCCCCUCUGCGCCCCUCCACCUUCUCUACCUCCUGCUAGACUCCCCUGCCUGACUAACCAUGGCAUUUACUGCGUGAAAGGGAAGGCUCUCUGUCCUGGUCAUUUCUAAAGUUGGCUGUACCCGGUGCCAUUUAAGCUUCAUUUGUUUGGUAAUUGAAGAAUUUUUUUGGAAAUUGGCUGGUGUCUCUCACAUCCUAGCUUGCACAAGGUUCGAACAGAAUAAAUGCUCCAUAAACAUCCCUUGUUUGUUUGCCUUACUGGCCCCCUCUCUUCUUCUCAUCCAGCCCACACGACCCGUCUCUGCUGAUGGACUUUGCAAGUGGAAUGUGCUAUCAUCCACAGAGACACAGGCCUGCAUAGACACCUUGCCAGUGCCCUGUGCAGAGACAGGCAAGUGUAUUCCUCUGGAGUGUUCGGAAGCUCCCAGGCCCUAGGGACUGUGUCUGCUCUUUGCUCCAUGUCCUCAUCCACCCCCGCCCAGGAGUGCCGCCAACCCGUUGCCCUUGAGAUGGAGACCACCUCUUUGGUAUUGCAAAGAAGGUCCUUCGUAAUCGUCUAUCCCUCAUCCUCACCCUUCUGCUCCAUUUGAAAGGCCCUCCAGAACAACAUGUCAUUCCUGGGAACCAUCUUUGGUAUUGCAAAGAAGGGUCUUCAUGAUCAUCGUCCCCCAUCCUCACCCUCCUGCUUCAUUUGAAAGGCCCUCCAGAACAAUGUGUCACUACCAGAAACCAUUUGCUAUCUCUGUUCCUUGUUUGUAUUUCUGCACUGGAAAUGGCCUUACAGCUCCACACUCAUCCUUCAGACAUGCAGCUCCUUGGUGACCCCAUCUGCUGGGUGCUGGCCUAUGUCACAUCCAGGUUGCUUUUUAUUCAUUGUCUCAUCUACCAGCCCAUGCCUCCCCAAGGGCAGGGCUGGUCCUGUUCACUAACCCAUCCCCAGCACCCAUUGGAAUGCUCUAGACUUCAGCCCAGUGAGUCACUAAGAAAGAACAGAUACCUUGGCAGAAGAGCUGAGGAAAGCCCAGGUCCCUGUCUUCAGGCCAAGGCUCUCUCCCAUUUGACCAACCCUGGCAUAUGUGUGUGUGUUGCAUUGAGGAAUUAUUUCAAGGUAUCUUUGAAUCCAUUCGGAUUCUUGGCCAGGUGCAGUGGCUCACACCCAUAAUCUCAGCACUUGGGGAAGCCAAGGUAGGCAGAUUGCUUGAGCACAGGAAUUC